GACGAACGCUGGCGGCGUGCCUAAUACAUGCAAGUUGAGCGAUGAAGCUUGGUGCUUGCACCAAUUUGAAGAGCAGCGAACGGGUGAGUAACGCGUGGGGAAUCUGCCUUUGAGCGGGGGACAACAUUUGGAAACGAAUGCUAAUACCGCAUAACAACUUUAAACAUAAGUUUUAAGUUUGAAAGAUGCAAUUGCAUCACUCAAAGAUGAUCCCGCGUUGUAUUAGCUAGUUGGUGAGGUAAAGGCUCACCAAGGCGAUGAUACAUAGCCGACCUGAGAGGGUGAUCGGCCACAUUGGGACGGAGACACGGCCCAAACUCCUACGGGAGGCAGCAGUAGGGAACCUUCGGCAAUGGACGAAAGUCUGACCGAGCAACGCCGCGUGAGUGAAGAAGGGUGUCGGAUCGUAAAAAUCGGUUGGUAGAGAAGAACGUUGGUGAGAGUGGAAAGCUCAUCAAGUGACGGUAACUACCCAGAAAGGGACGGCUAACUACGUG
RNAcentral lists this ribosomal RNA (497 nucleotides) under uncultured bacterium. Its description in RNAcentral is "partial 16S ribosomal RNA". It matches the Rfam family "Bacterial small subunit ribosomal RNA", at positions 28 to 507 of the family's 1533-position model. The record is from RNAcentral.